Long non-coding RNA from Labeo rohita (rohu), 1331 nucleotides. RefSeq lists it as uncharacterized. The transcript has 3 exons. Lineage: Eukaryota; Metazoa; Chordata; Actinopteri; Cypriniformes; Cyprinidae. The record is from RefSeq and is a predicted model, not a curated record.
CUCGAGUGGAAUAGAGGUUUUUGUACGACCGUUUCAUUAGAUUGUAUCACUGUGGUACACAUUCGGUGGAGGAACUAAACUGGUGCUCGAACAUGAACAUGCAUGAAAUAAUUGAUCUGAGGUCUGAGACUGACAGCUGUCUGUUCUGUGUAUGAAGAUAAUUUACAUAGAGAGACACUUUGCAUGAGAGUGUUUAUAGUGCUGUGAGUUUAACACUUCAUGACUGAGAGCAGAACAGAACAGAAUCUUCAUCAUCACACAAGACAAAACAACAACAAUAAACAACAUCAUCAUCCUCAUCUGGACUCUUUGUAUAUGCAUUCAAGGUUUCAGUGGGCAGGUGACUGUGACUCAGACUCCCUCGGUUGAAACAGUUCAGAUUGGUGAAUCAGUCACUAUAAACUGCAAAACAAACACACAAGUGGUAGAUGCCUGUACAGGUUCAUAUACUUGUAUGGCCUGAUAUCACCAGAAACCUGGAGAAACUCCAAAACUCCUCAUAUAUGCUGCAACACGCAGAUAUACAGGAACUCCAUCUAGAUUCAGUGGCAGCGGAUCCAGAACUGACUUCACUCUGACCAUCAGUGGAGUCCAGACUGAAGAUACAGGAGAUUAUUACUGUCAGAGUUACCACAGUGGUCCAGUGUUCAUACAGUGAUAAAGAGUCGUACAAAAACCCGUCAAUCAAAGUCACAGUGACUGCACUGAUACAGAUGAGAGAUACUGCAGCUGCUCUACAACACAAUCACACACAACACUGAUCAGAUCACAAACACACAACACAAUAUCAUUACUACUAUCAGAAAUAUUUUAGUCAGUGUUUUAAUGUUAAUCAUGUUUUAGGUGUAAUAUACGAUACCUGUUAAUCAAACUGAACAGACUGCAUUCAGUCACUUCUGCUGUCUAGACAUGAUGCUCUCCAUCUGACCCACAGAAAGAUUUACAUAUAUUUUCACCUGCACUAUACUGAUGAGUUUGUCUGUGUGCUGUUUAACUACCCUUACUAAAAAUAAGUUUAUUCAAGUGCACUAUUAGUAUACUUCUUUUAAACUAAAUAUACUUUCAGUAUACUUUUAUGUACUUCUCAGAUAUGUGCUUUAUAUACUUCUCAGAAAUAUACUUAAAAUGACAUUUAAGUAUACUUUAUUUAUACUCAGAAAAAGUAUUUGAGCUAUACUUGUGCUCUGAGAAUUCCUGUUUUCUUUGUUAUUUCACAUCUUCCGUACAGAAUUUCCAAAACACAAGUGAAGAAGAACCUGCUUCCAUGUGUAAUCACAAUCAUCAGACAUAAAACAGCAUCAAAACCCUAGAUAUGUAAAACUGUGUAACGU